UUGGUAUUUGGUACAGAGUUGCAAACCCCAUGCUGUCUACCCAGAUGACAACUGAUUCCAUUUAAGAAAAUUUAGCAGCAAAGAGCCAAGAUCGCCAUGGAGCUUGUUGAUCAUCAUAACCAUGUAUGAAUUGAAUAAAUACAAGGAACUUACUUUAAGGAAGUAGCUAAACUUUACUCCUUCCAUUCACUUCUACUUGUCACAUUUCACUUCUCAAAACUCAAUUUGACUAAUGUUCGUUGCUAAAUUGAAUUAGAUUAAUCCAAUACUUCAAAAUGAAAAUUUAAAUACGUUGCAAUUCUUCUCAUUGUUAUGUGUGUUAGUAGCUAUAGUCCUAGCUUUAUUUCAAUGUGUUAGUAUCAUUGUUGUACUCCCUCCGUUUCAUAAUAAAUGCAUUGUUGGACUUUGGCACACAUUUUAAGAAAAAGAAUCAAAGACAUAAAUUUAACAUAAUUUUCCAUUUUUACCCUUGUUCAAAGUAAAGAAUCAUAUAUAUUUUAUUCUUUUUCAAUUGAUGGUCUCUUGGUUGUCAAAUCCUCAAGGGUAAAUUUGAAAAAAAAAUUCAAUGAUUCACUUAUUUUGGAACACCAAAAAUACUCCAACAAUUCAUUUAUUAUGAAACGGAGGGAGUAUUACUUGGUGAGAUUGUUUAUGAUAUUGUUGGUGUGGUAAUUUCUAUUGUAUCUUGUCCUUUUACUAGUCAGUCCUUGAGUCUUUUUAGCUUCCUUAUCUAUACUCAGAAGGUUUAAGCCAUUGUAUUAACGUACAUUUGGAUGUUCUGUUUGGGCCAGAGACAAGUAGUGGAGGUAAAUGGUGAUGGAUUUUCUGUAACUUAGAGUUAAACGUUAAUAAAUGGCUCUGAUAAAAGCUGCAGCCAAUCUCACUUUCUUUGUAUUCCGCUUCCUUUUUUGUUUUCCCUAAUUUGUUUUUAGAUAUCUUAUUUUGUUUAAAUACCAUAUAGUUUAUGUGGUUGAAUCAUAUUUUUAAUCAUCAUUCUGUUAAAGCAAUAGAAGCAGAGGUAAAACUCUUACCACAUUGUCCUGGUCUCUUGGGUUGGUUUUUCUAUGUAUCCAGUGACUCUGGAUGGUUGUUAAGUCUUUUGUUUUGUUACUGAAUUGAAAAUGUUGUUGCUUAUGCAUUUUCUUUUGUAAACUACUUGUAAAGCUUUCAGAUGUUGACGAUACAGAUACCUUUUUAAUAUACUUGGUAUCAAUUCUUUCUUCUUAAUGUUCCGAGUUAUAUGUGGUACGUUUGUUUACCUUGCAAAAGUUUUACUAUUCAUUUCCGCUUUUAAUGUUCUCUUUUUUCAGCAUUUUCCUUCCAAUUGAUCUCAUGAACUAGUUAGUGUUGCAUUUUCUUCUUCUUCUGAUUGUUGAGAUUCAUUCAGAAAAAUAUGUGAUUGUUGUUACAAACGACAGCUGUAGCAGCUAUAAUCGUAGAACAUUUAUUAUACCAAGCUUGCGUACUAGGAACUCUUAGGUAGCCGCUUUGUCAAUUUAUCUGCCAGCUGGUUGUUGGUGAUCAAGCCAUCUUGAAUCUUCUGUCUAAUAAAGUGAUGUGCAACUGGAAGUGCAGCUUUGAAUCUCACUGUAUACAAAUCACUGGAUUAAUCAUUUCAUGCAGUCUGCAUCACACAACACUAUUAAUGUAUUUGACACUGCAAUACUUAGUAAAAUCCUAGUGCUGCUUCUCUAUUUACAUAUCUCAUCACCCUUGUGUUGCAUUCCAGUGGGAUCUCUUGGAUUGCUGCAAAAAUUGACCAGUCUACAUACAAGACCAGGAUUUUGUUAUGACAUUUGUGGCUAAUAUAGUGACAUCUGGUCACUUCAUACCUUUACAUUUUUUAAUAGUUUGCAAAUGUUUCUUCUUCUUUCCUUCUGGUUUCUUAUGUUAGUUAGUGCUUCAUUGCCUUUUCAGGUAUCUGAUUCGUAAACCUUGUACUCCAAGACUAUAGAUAGAUUGCCCUAUCCGCAUAAAAGGAAGUGAGGAAUUGUUGUACAAGCUGUUUUCAGUUAAGGCUUGGGCUGAAAGAGUAAGGAAAUGUGUGUCUGAGACUUCUGCUAGAGUUGAGGCAGAUAUUCUCAAGGAGGUGAUCUGUUUGUCUUUGCUUAAUUGCUUUCAAUGAUGCUGGCUACCGUUUUGGUAUUAUUUGUUUUGUGCUUAUUCUAUUGCUUUUUUGGGUUUACAGAGUUUAAGUCUUCAAGUGAAACUUCCUAUAUUUAAUUAGACAAGUUGAAUGGUGUCAAUCUCAGUGGUAGGAGAUGUUGAAAGGGUCUCUCAGUGUCAAGGUUGUUCCUACCUUGUCAUGAAUUGGAAAGUGUUGAUGGAAGUAGAACAUUGCAUAAAUGAUACACUUUAUGUUGUACAGGAACUUGAAUCGAUUCUCAACAGAUGAGAUGGUUUUGCAGUUAAUAUUUCAGAGUUUGAAUUUCUGAGACUAUCAUAAAGAUACUCUAUCUUGGAUAGGACGUGCUAAUAAUAUUCUAUUGUGCAUCAGCGAAAGGGGGGAUCAAGAAACUGUAGCUCAUGAGUUAACUUGCAUUCAAAAGGAUGCAUCAUUGCUUAGAGUUAAAGUUGAGGAGCUUCCUUGUGCGGAUAUUGAGCUAAAGAAGACUCGCUGUAGGGUAAAAGCUCUGAAGCUUUGACUCACAAUCUCUAGUUCCACACAAAAUUCUUCUCUCGAAGCCCCGGAGUAAUUGGUUUUGCUGGAUUCAUGUGGCCAGCACCAAUAGCAAACACAUCAGCACAAAGUUCCUUUUCAUCGAGGAUGGGCCGACCCUCACGGUUGGAUUGAUCAGCUAUAGUCAUAAUGACAGUGAUUGUUGUUAUCUAUCAUUCUGCCAUAAUCUCGUAUAUUAUUAAUGUGUGCCACUAUAAAUAUGCUCCAACACAAAACACUGAAAAACUUAUGCAUUCUCAUUGUUUAUGUUGCAGAUCAUUAUGCCAAGAUUGGGUUGGAAGUGAUUACUGGCUUUAUCAUCCAUACCAUCAUUCGCAACACUUUUUUUUGUUUGUAUUUACAGUUGAAUCUCCAAGAUAUCUGUGUGCCAUAGUUGUGAUGAAUAAGACACCUUCCUCCUGGAAGUUUCUCUUCUCAUCUUUACUGUUGAUUUUCUGUAUACUUCAACAUAGGUGGCCGAUAGUUUAGAUGAUGUGAGAGGUGGUUACAAGGCUGGGGUUGUCCAGCACUUGUUUUUCUUUCUUGCUAUGUACAUUAGCCCUUGGAGGAAAUGUGGACACGGGUGAGAAGUGGCUUGGCAAUGCUAGUAUGCUGCAGAGUACAGAUGUUAAAGGAGUUACCCGUGCCAAAGGGCGAUGUCUUAGAAAGAGCCAUGGAGUCAACAUAAUCCAGCAACUUCAAGAGAAGAAUUUUGUGCAGAGACCUUCAGUCCAACAAGAUGUGGACACUGUUAGAGAUAGAGCACAACCACAAUCAAUGGGUGGGAACACACAUAAUUCCUCCCUGGAGCAAGAGGUGCAAGUUCCGAUAACUGGGUACUUCAAAAACUUUUCAAGGCUAAAACUAUCUCGUGGAAGCUGGUUACUCCUUCCAAGAUAUGCAACAGCUUAAAUAGAAGAGUGAAGCAGAACGUUGUUGUAUGCAGUGAAGCAAAUGCUAUGAUAUGGAUGAACUCCUCAGAGGAAGUGAGAUGGGUUGUAGCAAAUUGUCCAAGUCCAAAAGCUAAGUUGCUUCGAAUGAGUUUAGCUGCUACCGUAUACUUUACAUGCAGGAACUAAACUUCAGAAUUUUUCAAUUUAAAACUAGAAGACCUGAAGAUAUCGCUACACAAAUUGUUCAGGAAGUGCAUUGUAGAGUAUAGAUGCCCAAGCUAGCUAACAGGUUGAUGCAGUUGAAUUUUUAUCCUUAGUACUGCAACAUUUCUGUAUACUGCAGCAUGGGUGAGGUAAUAGGUGGCUACAAGGCUGGGAUUGUCCAACACUUGUUUUUUCUUUUUUGCUCUGUACAUUGGCCCUUGGUAAAUGAAUCUGUUUUGUUACCAAAAAAUCAAUUCCUUUUCUGGUGA
Molecule: long non-coding RNA, 4025 nt
Organism: Capsicum annuum
Lineage: Eukaryota; Viridiplantae; Streptophyta; Magnoliopsida; Solanales; Solanaceae
Exons: 5
Source: RefSeq, a predicted model, not a curated record